This is a long non-coding RNA of Acinonyx jubatus (cheetah), 1611 nucleotides long. RefSeq lists it as uncharacterized. NCBI's taxonomy places the organism in Eukaryota, Metazoa, Chordata, Mammalia, Carnivora, Felidae. The record is from RefSeq and is a predicted model, not a curated record. The transcript has 2 exons.
UAAAGCAACCAGGAAAACAGGAUGCAGUGACACAGUAAACGAAAAAGCGCCCCAAUAUUAAACUGUUUUUAAGGGCUUUUAUUUAUAUCAGGAUAAAAUAUAAACAUACUAAAAUGUUAAUUAGAUUUUGGCUAUUAGGAGUGUGGCCUAUUUAAGUUGAUACUGUAUUUUUCUUUAGUAAGCAGGUGAAAAAUAAUUUGGAAAAAAGCAGGUCUCAUUAGCAACAAACUUCUUCUUUAUUUAGUUAGAUAUUGGGCAUUGGUGUAGAUGUUGGGGAUACAGUCCAUAAUACCUCUUCCCUCAACAGGGAGGUCAAAAUAUUGAACAGUAAUUGUAAGGUUAAAGAGUAUUAUAAAAGGGACCUUCUACUGGAAGGAGGUAUAUAGCAGUAAGAUUUAACCCAUUCCAGUAAUAAAAUUUCCAAUCAAUUUUAGUGCUAGAGAGAACCUUUGAAAUGUUCAAGGAACUACAUUUUUAGAAGGCUAGGGAGGUAAGUGAGUUUGUAUAGUUGGGUAACAAAUUGGUACAGUUAGAAUUGGGAUUUAAUUUAGGUGUCCUAGCUCCAAGUUUUUUCCCCAGUAGAUGUACCAGACUGUCUAGUUGAAGUUGGCUCUCUUAAUGUGAAAUUAGCUCCCUCUUUAAAGGCUGUUAUACUAGGUAGAAGUUCUUUGAUAAAGAGAUUAGCCGACUUGGGUGCUCUCCUUUGAUCUCAUUUAAUCCCAAAGAGAUAUUUCACUUCUUAACCUCUUCAUCCACACCCCACCCCCUAGUCUAUUAAUUCUUACCUUCUCUUCACUUUCUUCUCUGUCUAGCUUCGACUUUGUAUUUUUAGCAAGCAGUGGAGGUCAACUUUGGCUAGGUUGAAUAGAAAUAGUAUUUAUUGAGUUAUUAGGUACCUCACAUGGUCUUCAAAGGUGCCAAUGAGGCAUUCAGGAAACAAGGCUCAGAAUCCCAUCAUGGUGGAGACUUCACUGCCAGCAUUGUAUGCAUCACACUCUGCAGUUUGAUUGCAGAUGCCAAGUACAGCAUGCUACUCUAGAACCCCUUCUGUUGCUGUCUGAAGGUAACUACUCCACAGUGGGUCUUUCUUGUGUAUUUUAGCUUUGAUACACAGGUUUUGACUGAGCCUAGGUCUUAGAUGCUGGGCAGACAGCUAGGAAAUCUUAUGAGACUAAAGCUGCUGUUGAGGGAUCUGGGAAUCCAUAAAGGCUGGGGGAUUAUUUAUUUCACAACAAGGCUCUUGUCAGGUUGUUAAAAGGAAUGAUGAAGGUCCAUUAUGAACCUCAUUUUGCCUCAUGCUGCCAGGCAUUCCUUAUACGUGACUAUAGAUAAGUUUUUCUAUUUUCAAACUUCCACAUUCUUAAGCUCCCAGUUUCAGCAUUACACUCAGGAAGGGGAGGGAAGAUAUGAAUGAAUGGGGGGAUUUUACUAUUGCUUAAUAGAUGAGUUUGUAGACAAAUGGCUACAAUUACACAUAAAGGCCUUAAAAUGAAUUAUCAACUUCAAGUAACCAGUUAAAAGUUUAAGAAAGAAACCCACAAUUGAGGUAAUUUCUAACUUAAAUGCUGAAUUUUUUAAAAAGUACAUGUUCACUGGUUUUUGCUAAUACAU